AUGGGGCGACUGCCGGCCCCUAGCAUCAUCUGCUUCAUCGUCUUCCUCGUCCUCGCGAUAGCAACUGGUCUCGGGGUUCAGCAGCUGCCCCCCACGGCGAGUGUCCCAGCUGGCAGCAGCGUCACCCUGAGCUGCACCUUCCACAUCCUCAACCAGACCGGGACACAAGUCACCUGGGCCAGGGGCUCCCGGGAGGCCGUCGUGCUGGACCCCGCCCACCCCUUCUACCAGGGGCGGCUGGCCGAGAGCCAGCGGGACCAGCAGGGCCAGGUGGAGGCCAUGGUGACCCUGUCGGAGCUGAUGGAGAGGGACUCGGGUCUUUACCGCUGCUACAUCACCUACCCGCAGGGCGAGCAGGGGAAGGGCACCGGGACCACCCUGACUGUGAUGGGCAGAGCUGUUGCAGAAAUUCCAGCCGGCUGCAAGAGAGCGCUGGUCCCAAAUGUUGGAGCGUCCACCCAGAAACCAGGUGAGUUUGCCACGGAGUUCAGGGUAACGGCUCUUGUUGGGGUGAACAAAUGACUGGAUUUAUCCAGUCUCCAGCAUUGCAGCUCUUCUCUGGGGAUUGAUAGAGCAGUGCGGAUGGAGGGCAGGAGGGAUAGAAAGGGAGGCUGGAUGGCUGAAUUGACAGAUGUGGUAUGACGGGUUGGAUCACAGAAAACCCCCUGGGAACUGCCGACUGAUGUGCUGAGACUACCUCUGAGCCGGUUUUCCCUGGCAGCUCGGGACUUCAGUGCCCUGCCUGGUUCGAGCCAGACAUGCCAGCCUGCUACAACCCAGACCCAGGUCUGAACAACGUCCCCCAGAAGCUGCAGGCUUAACUGAAAACAGCUUAAGAAGUGAUCCUGUCUCCAACGCUCAGAUGCCCAGCUCCCAAUGGGAUCCAAACCCCAAAUAAAUCCAUUUUACCCUUAUACA
RNAcentral lists this long non-coding RNA (918 nucleotides) under Chrysemys picta bellii (western painted turtle). Its description in RNAcentral is "lncRNA (ENSCPBG00000014699.1)". Lineage: Eukaryota; Metazoa; Chordata; Testudines; Emydidae. The record is from RNAcentral.